RNAcentral lists this transfer RNA (92 nucleotides) under Microdochium trichocladiopsis. It matches the Rfam family "tRNA". Rfam says of the family: Transfer RNA (tRNA) molecules are approximately 80 nucleotides in length. Their secondary structure includes four short double-helical elements and three loops (D, anti-codon, and T loops). Further hydrogen bonds mediate the characteristic L-shaped molecular structure. tRNAs have two regions of fundamental functional importance: the anti-codon, which is responsible for specific mRNA codon recognition, and the 3' end, to which the tRNAs corresponding amino acid is attached (by aminoacyl-tRNA synthetases). tRNAs cope with the degeneracy of the genetic code in two manners: having more than one tRNA (with a specific anti-codon) for a particular amino acid; and 'wobble' base-pairing, i.e. permitting non-standard base-pairing at the 3rd anti-codon position. The record is from Rfam by way of RNAcentral. Lineage: Eukaryota; Fungi; Ascomycota; Sordariomycetes; Xylariales; Microdochiaceae.
GGCUUCUUAGUGUAGAUGGUUAUCACAUCGGAUUCUGAUCUGCCCUAGGGCUUCAUAUUCCGGUAACUCGAGUUCGAGUCUCGAAGAGGCCU